RNAcentral lists this ribosomal RNA (288 nucleotides) under uncultured bacterium. RNAcentral's name for it is "partial 16S ribosomal RNA". It matches the Rfam family "Bacterial small subunit ribosomal RNA", at positions 29 to 335 of the family's 1533-position model. The record is from RNAcentral.
AACGAACGCUGGCGGCAUGCCUAACACAUGCAAGUCGAACGAGACCCUUCGGGUCUAGUGGCGCACGGGUGCGUAACGCGUGGGAAUCUGCCCUUGGGUUCGGAAUAACUCGCCGAAAGGCGUGCGUAAUACCGGAUGAUGUCGUAAGACCAAAGGAUUUAUCGCCCAGGGAUGAGCCCGCGUAAGAUUAGGUAGUUGGUAGAAGGUAAAGGCUCACCAAGUCCGUACGAUCUUUUAGCUGGUCUGAGAGGAUGAUCAGCCCACACUGGGACUGAGACACGGCCCAGG